GACAGAGGGUGCAAACGUUGUUCGGAAUUACUGGGCGUAAAGCGCGUGUAGGCGGCGUGACAAGUCACUUGUGAAAUCUCCGGGCUUAACUCGGAACGGUCAAGUGAUACUGUCGUGCUAGAGUACAGAAGGGGCAACUGGAAUUCUCGGUGUAGCGGUGAAAUGCGUAGAUAUCGGGAGGAACACCUAUUGCGAAGGCAGCUCGCUGGGACGUAACUGACGCUGAGACGCGAAAGCGUGGGGAGCAAACAGG
This 253-nucleotide ribosomal RNA is filed under the name uncultured bacterium. RNAcentral describes it as "partial 16S ribosomal RNA". It matches the Rfam family "Bacterial small subunit ribosomal RNA", at positions 524 to 776 of the family's 1533-position model. The record is from RNAcentral.